CAGGGCUCUAGAGUGCGACCAAUUUGGUCGCAAAUGCGACCAAAUUUUUCAGUGGUGCGACUAAAAAAAAUCUUUGGUCGCACCAGUGCGACCAACUGUUCGGGUAACAGAAAAAAAUAAAUAAAUCUCUGCAACUCUCCGUCUGGUCAACAACAGACACACAUUAUGCCCCUAUCAUGGACUAAACCAAUCAGAGAUAGUCAGGGGCGGGACCUCUCUGAUCGGCCGUGGUCCAGUUGAAAGUGCAGGUGGAAGAGGGAGGUGAGUAGCUUGAAUAAAGCGAUAUCGAUUCAUUAAAUCCUGAAUUGACUUUUAAAUAUAACUGUGAAACGCCAGAUUCUCAGAUUAAAGCUCACAAAACUAUUUCAACAACCACCAAACAGCAAAUGAGAGCAGGUUUUGUCUCUCCAACCAAAAUUCGCCGAGCGAGCAGCAAAAGAAGCAGCAAACUACACUUCACAUUUGAUCAAUGUUGUCAUGAAUUCCCUCUGACUUUUGCUGUUUUGCUUCCACCAUGAUAAAAAUCACUCUCUCUCUCUUUCUCUCUGUACUUCAAGAACAGUUUCCCAUCUCAAAUCUCUGUUUUCUGCAUUAUUCAUUCGCUUAUUACCCACCAGUCUACCGUUGUUUACAGCGCUGUCUUUUUCUUUUUCUUUUCUUUUUCUUUUUUUCACUUAAAUGACCUCGGACAAGAAAGCCUAAUUUCUGCUGUUCAAUACUGAAGAAAUUUAAACUUUUUAAAAUUAUACAAAAUUACAGAAUAUUGCAGAAUAAUUUUAAGGUUAUCUGCUAUAAAAACUCAGGUCAGAAAAAUCUCCUUCAUGUUUUUCUGUGUUUUAUUCUCAGUUACUUUGACACAAAGGCAUCUGCUGUGAUGUUCACAAUUCUGAUGAAGUCUCAUGUGUAUCAGUGCUGAUAAAUGAUCAGAAUUAUAAUAUUUCUGAGUGUCUGAGGCUAAAUUGAAUCGAAUCAGGACUUUGAGAACCGGAAUCGAAUGGAUUAUAGAAAUCAGUGAUGAUACCCAGCACUAGUGAGCAGCCUAGGCCUGACAGAAGUGGAUGUAGCUGUGGGUAAUAAGAAAAGAUGAAAAGAACUACUGAUAACUUUUUUGUUAAGGCCUGAUCCGUCUGAAAUUCAUAGCCAGCUCUGACACGGUGCCAUCAACCUCUGAACGCUGAAAAAGCAGCAGUGUAUCCAGAAAACACAUGAUAUGCUGCAAUAAAUGCACUGCCCAAGUGUCCCCUCUCCCCACUGCCUUUCAGCAGCAGGCAGCAGCAAACAGGUCGUCAGAGGAGGCCAAGAUGAUGAUUAAGUUUAACAUUUUCUACAAUAUUGACAAAGCACUUUAAGCACAAGAUUGUUAGUUAAUCAUUUAGAAAUCAAUAUUGUCUGUAUGGACUGCAAUUUCCCCCCAAAAAAUGUGCACAUGUAAAACUGCGGUGUUAAGCGAUGCGGUUGAAAAAUUUGAGUGCGCCUAACUUUUGUGGCGGUACGCCUAAAUUUUUAAAGUUGGGCGCACCGGUGCGCCCAUGGCAAAAAGUUAGUCUAGAG
Long non-coding RNA from Oreochromis aureus, 1551 nucleotides. Lineage: Eukaryota; Metazoa; Chordata; Actinopteri; Cichliformes; Cichlidae. The record is from Ensembl.